UUCUUAAAUUAGCAAAAUCAUAUAUCCAAUCUUAAUUAUUAUUUAGUAGAUUUUGUAUUAAAAAUUAUUUAUAUAUUAAAUUGAAGUAUGAGGAUUUUUUUUGGAUACAAUUUAAAGAUAUAGGACGUAUGUGACACAUUUAUCUAUGUUAAAAGAAAAUAAGUGAAAUUUAGCCAUAAUUAAUAGUAAAUUGAUAAUAGCAAGCCAUAAAGACUUUAAUAAUAAGUUAAAUAAUUUUUUUUUCUUACAAAAAAUAUGAAAUUUAAGAAUUUUAUGAUAUAAAUUGACGUUGAGAGACGUGGUUGAAAUUAUCCUAGUAAUCAAGCUAAUCAAGAUGCUUAAUGAGUAAAGCAAACAUAUACAGUACUCAUUUAUUAGAGGCAAAUUUUGAUUUUGACCUGUAAAAUUCAUGUCAAUCCAAUUAAAAUUUGAAAAGAUUUAAAGUUAAAUUACUGGUAAAAUUAAAGUUCAAUUUGACAACCCAACCUAGAGUUGGUGGUAAUUUUUAUGAGUCUGCUGUCAAUUUCUUAAUUAAGAAUUAAAUUUAUUGGUAAAGAAAAGUUUGAAUUUUUAAAUUGUUAAAAUUAAAAUAAUUAAAUUAUUACUUCGUCUAUUUUUAUUUGCCAGUUUUCAAAAUUUGUUUUGCUCACCAUGAGAAAAUUAAAGUCAAUUAAUUAAAUUUUUUUUUUAAAUUUACCCUUACCUCUACUAAUUAAGUAUAAUAAUUAUUUUUAU
Molecule: unclassified non-coding RNA, 735 nt
Filed under: Hevea brasiliensis (rubber tree)
Lineage: Eukaryota; Viridiplantae; Streptophyta; Magnoliopsida; Malpighiales; Euphorbiaceae
Source: RNAcentral